RNAcentral lists this ribosomal RNA (509 nucleotides) under Clonostachys pseudochroleuca. Its description in RNAcentral is "eukaryotic LSU rRNA". The stretch from base 138 to 291 matches the Rfam family "5.8S ribosomal RNA". The record is from RNAcentral. Lineage: Eukaryota; Fungi; Ascomycota; Sordariomycetes; Hypocreales; Bionectriaceae.
CCCAUGUGAACAUACCUACUGUUGCUUCGGCGGGAUUGCCCCGGGCGCCUCGUGUGCCCCGGAUCAGGCGCCCGCCUAGGAAACUUAACUCUUGUUUUAUUUUGGAAUCUUCUGAGUAGUUUUUACAAAUAAAUAAAAACUUUCAACAACGGAUCUCUUGGUUCUGGCAUCGAUGAAGAACGCAGCGAAAUGCGAUAAGUAAUGUGAAUUGCAGAAUUCAGUGAAUCAUCGAAUCUUUGAACGCACAUUGCGCCCGCCAGUAUUCUGGCGGGCAUGCCUGUCUGAGCGUCAUUUCAACCCUCAUGCCCCUAGGGCGUGGUGUUGGGGAUCGGCCAAAGCCCGCGAGGGACGGCCGGCCCCUAAAUCUAGUGGCGGACCCGUCGUGGCCUCCUCUGCGAAGUAGUGAUAUUCCGCAUCGGAGAGCGAUGAGCCCCUGCCGUUAAACCCCCAACUUUCCAAGGUUGACCUCAGAUCAGGUAGGAAUACCCGCUGAACUUAAGCAUAUCAAA